Molecule: long non-coding RNA, 1048 nt
Filed under: Chinchilla lanigera (long-tailed chinchilla)
Lineage: Eukaryota; Metazoa; Chordata; Mammalia; Rodentia; Chinchillidae
Description: lncRNA (ENSCLAG00000022311.1)
Source: RNAcentral
AUGACAGAAAUGUAUCUAUGCGGAGACAGAUCUGUAAGGCCAAAAGAAAGACUAAGUCCACUUCUGGCUGGAGCUGCAGCAGUCAGGGCCCCAAGUCCUAACGGGGCACAAACACUGCGAGGUGGCAGGGGCAAAGUGAGGACCCCAAGACCUGAGAGGCAUCACCCUAGGGCGAGGGAUGACCCAUCCUACAGCUGCCAAGGUCGGGAGAGACUCUGCCGUGUGCCUCUGUGCUCAUCACACGGAAUCUUGAUCACUUACAGGGGAACAGUGCUGCUAACCGGGGACAUUUACCUUCUACGUACCUUCUUCAUCACCGGGGACCCAGUGCAAACCAACCCCGUAUCAUUCACAGUGUGCGAGUGUGUGCACACACAAAUCGCCAGCAUUAAGAACCUGGAAACACUAUUCUGCCUCCAUAGAGCCACGCAGACUCCAGCCCUAAGAAGUUUAUGGUGCAAUGAAAGGUAACACGAAGAAAGCAAAGGCCCACAAGGAUGGUGGGGACACUGACACAGGCAAGCAUACUGUGAUGCAGUCACAGGCUCAUUAUAGUCUGGAGUGCUGUCAUGACAGCUGCUUUCCUUUCAGUCAUAUUUUGGGCAAAUGUGAGAGAAAGGUAGGGCUGUUUGCAGCUCUCAUUCGUGUACCCAGUAUGAUAGUGAUGGCUGCACUCCCCAAAUCUGUGUUUUAAGUAAGUAGUAUAGAAGCUAUUAAGAAAGUAACAUUUUCAGCUUUUGGAAAAUAAGAAAGUAGCAUUUUCAGCUAUUAAGCAAGUAGCAUUUUCAGGACAGAAACACAAGUAUUAAAAAUAUAAAAGAUAACACAGCAAUAAUAUUGAGGAGAAUUAUUUACUAUGCAUUUUAAAAAUUUAGGCAUUAAGAUGCUAAAGGUGAAGCCCUGACCUGAGGUGUCAGCAGAGGCAGGGAAGACUGGGGCUUUCCGGUGCCUGGGGCUCUGCCUUAGCAGCCCGCACUCCCAGCCCCAACUCCACCUCAGCUCAACAGGGCUGAUACAGACCCAGGCCUGGACCUUAGGCAGUGUGAGU